This is a long non-coding RNA of Gadus morhua (Atlantic cod), 491 nucleotides long. RefSeq lists it as uncharacterized. The transcript is spliced from 4 exons. NCBI's taxonomy places the organism in Eukaryota, Metazoa, Chordata, Actinopteri, Gadiformes, Gadidae. The record is from RefSeq and is a predicted model, not a curated record.
UGUAUGGUAACUUGGCCAUUCUUCCCCUUGUCUUCAGAUGUCUACUAAGAAGCAUCGAGCCAUGGGGUCUGAGGAGUGGGUGAGCCGCCUGAGGGCAUUUGCCUCUUCUGGCACUUGGCCCUCCAGUGCAGGGAACAGGCCAUCUCCGAAACAGGCCAAGUGGCCCAACCUCUACCAGAAGAUUGAGUAGUGUCCCACGAUGCUGCGUGGGCAAACCUCUAUCUUAAGGGUAGCGCAGACAUGUACCUGUGGCUUUCACCCCCAGCAGCCCUGCAGCUACCUCUGCCUCCACCUCUGCUGCGCCUGCACGGAGCCCUGGGAGGCAUGCAUUGACGCUGGCGAUGUUUGAGAAAUCGCGGUUCGGUGGGACUUUGUCUGCUGCAGCCAAGCCGAAUGUCAAUCUGACUAGGAGGCCUGUUGAGGUAAUUGAUGUACCUAUAGCUGUGCCUGAUGCCUUAGAACACAGCCAUACAGCCAACACUAUCCUUGUU